This 752-nucleotide ribosomal RNA is filed under the name uncultured bacterium. RNAcentral's name for it is "bacterial SSU rRNA". It matches the Rfam family "Bacterial small subunit ribosomal RNA", at positions 724 to 1482 of the family's 1533-position model. The record is from RNAcentral.
AUCUUCUGGAACACUACUGACGCUGAGGCGCGAAGGCGUGGGGAGCAAACAGGAUUAGAUACCCUGGUAGUCCACGCAGUAAACGAUGAAUGUUAGUCGUCGGGUAGCUAGUCUAUUCGGUGAUGCAGCUAACGCAUUAAACAUUCCGCCUGGGGAGUACGGUCGCAAGAUUAAAACUCAAAGGAAUAGACGGGGACCCGCACAAGUGGUGGAGCAUGUGGUUUAAUUCGAAGAUACGCGAAGAACCUUACCUAGCCUUGACAUAUUUUAGAACUCCGUAGAGAUACAGAGGUGCCUUCGGGAGCUAAUUUACAGGUGCUGCACGGCUGUCGUCAGCUCGUGUCGUGAGAUGUUGGGUUAAGUCCCGCAACGAGCGCAACCCUCGUCACUAGUUACUAACGGUUCGGCCGAGGACUCUAGUGAGACUGCCUUCGUAAGGAGGAGGAAGGUGAGGACGACGUCAAGUCAUCAUGGCCCUUACGGCUAGGGCAACACACGUGCUACAAUAGCCAGGACAGUGAGACGCGAUACCGCGAGGUGGAGCAAAUCUAUAAACCUGGUCUCAGUUCGGAUUGUAGUCUGCAACUCGACUACAUGAAGCUGGAAUCACUAGUAAUCGUAGAUCAGCUAUGCUACGGUGAAUACGUUCCCGGGUCUUGUACUCACCGCCCGUCACACCAUGGGAGUUGAUUUCACCCGAAGCGGGGAAGCUAAACUGGCUACCCUCCACGGUGGAAUUAGCGACUGGGGUG